UCGGAUAUGGUGUAAAGGUAACAUAUCCGCCUCUCAUCGCAAGGUGCGCGGUUGCUCGGGGUUCGAUUCCCCGUAUCCGAA
Molecule: transfer RNA, 81 nt
Filed under: Suillus placidus
Lineage: Eukaryota; Fungi; Basidiomycota; Agaricomycetes; Boletales; Suillaceae
Rfam family: tRNA
About the family: Transfer RNA (tRNA) molecules are approximately 80 nucleotides in length.
Source: Rfam by way of RNAcentral